This 216-nucleotide ribosomal RNA is filed under the name Glomeromycotina sp. RNAcentral describes it as "partial small subunit ribosomal RNA". The stretch from base 40 to 216 matches the Rfam family "Eukaryotic small subunit ribosomal RNA", at positions 686 to 864 of the family's 1831-position model. The record is from RNAcentral. Lineage: Eukaryota; Fungi; Glomeromycota.
GGGUCAGUAGGUUGGUCGUGCCACCGGUACGUACUGGUCUCACUGAUUCCUCCUUCCUGAAGAACCGUAAUGCCAUUAAUUUGGUGUUGCGGGGAAACAGGACUGUUACUUUGAAAAAAUUAGAGUGUUUGAAGCAAGCUAACGCUUGAAUACAUUAGCAUGGAAUAAUGAAAUAGGACGAUCGAUCCUAUUUUGUUGGCUUCUAGGAUUGACGUA